Molecule: non-coding RNA, 496 nt
Organism: Vicugna pacos (alpaca)
Lineage: Eukaryota; Metazoa; Chordata; Mammalia; Artiodactyla; Camelidae
Source: RefSeq, a predicted model, not a curated record
GGGGGCGGAGGCCGGCGGAGGAAGCGGAGGCAGCUGGCGGCGCCCAGGGGCUCUCCAGCUCCGCCAGUUCCUCUGGUGCAGAAGCCAAGGGUGUCGUGGAAGCGAAAUACAGUAACGUCUGCCACGUGCAACAGCCUGUAAGUGCAGACUGUGAUGCUGCUGGGAGGCAGGGCGGUGUCAGGGAGACACGUUGCUAGGAGACGAGACCUCUGGACCCACCUCUCCGACACUCUUCAGCAUCGUUUAUUUAUCUGCUCCUUCGAUGUCAAGUGUGACUGAUGCCUGUCCUGCCGUCUCGUUGGAAACGCAGUGAGUUAUGGCCGUCGGCCAGCAGAGAUGUCCAGAAUCCGCGCUCCCAUGCCGGCUGCCCCGCCUGUCGGACUGGAGACACCGCAUUCCAGCCCGAACUCUGCCAUUUGAAAGCUCUGCGCUCUGGGACAAACACGUUUUCUGCUUUUUAUUCUGUAAUCACCAAAUUAGGGAUGGUAUUGAAAAA